This 75-nucleotide transfer RNA is filed under the name Deltaproteobacteria bacterium. RNAcentral describes it as "tRNA-Val". It matches the Rfam family "tRNA". From Rfam's summary of the family: Transfer RNA (tRNA) molecules are approximately 80 nucleotides in length. Their secondary structure includes four short double-helical elements and three loops (D, anti-codon, and T loops). The record is from RNAcentral. Lineage: Bacteria; Pseudomonadati; Myxococcota; Myxococcia.
GGGCGCGUAACUCAGUGGUAGAGUGCCACCUUCACACGGUGGAAGUCGUAGGUUCGACCCCUGCCGCGCCCACCC